GAUGAACGCUGGCGGCGUGCCUAAUACAUGCAAGUCGAGCGAACAGACGAGGAGCUUGCUCCUCUGACGUUAGCGGCGGACGGGUGAGUAACACGUGGAUAACCUACCUAUAAGACUGGGAUAACUUCGGGAAACCGGAGCUAAUACCGGAUAAUAUAUUGAACCGCAUGGUUCAAUAGUGAAAGACGGUUUUGCUGUCACUUAUAGAUGGAUCCGCGCCGCAUUAGCUAGUUGGUAAGGUAACGGCUUACCAAGGCAACGAUGCGUAGCCGACCUGAGAGGGGGAUCGGCCACACUGGAACUGAGACACGGUCCAGACUCCUACGGGAGGCAGCAGUAGGGAAUCUUCCGAAAAGGGCGAAAGCCUGACGGAGCAACGCCGCGUGAGUGAUGAAGGUCUUCGGAUCGUAAAACUCUGUUAUUAGGGAAGAACAAAUGUGUAAGUAACUAUGCACGUCUUGACGGUACCUAAUCAGAAAGCCACGGCUAACUACGG
This 496-nucleotide ribosomal RNA is filed under the name uncultured bacterium. RNAcentral describes it as "partial 16S ribosomal RNA". It matches the Rfam family "Bacterial small subunit ribosomal RNA", at positions 28 to 506 of the family's 1533-position model. The record is from RNAcentral.